RNAcentral lists this ribosomal RNA (506 nucleotides) under uncultured bacterium. Its description in RNAcentral is "partial 16S ribosomal RNA". It matches the Rfam family "Bacterial small subunit ribosomal RNA", at positions 29 to 523 of the family's 1533-position model. The record is from RNAcentral.
AGUGAACGCUGGCGGUAGGCCUAACACAUGCAGGUCGAACGGCAGCACAGGAGAGCUUGCUCUCUGGGUGGCGAGUGGCGGACGGGUGAGGAAUACAUCGGAAUCUACUCUGUCGUGGGGGAUAACGUAGGGUAACUUACGCUAAUACCGCAUACGACCUACGGGUGAAAGCAGGGGAUCUUCGGACCUUGCGCGAUUGAAUGAGCCGAUGUCGGAUUAGCUAGUUGGCGGGGUAAAGGCCCACCAAGGGGACGAUCCGCAGCUGGUCUGAGAGGAUGAUCAGCCACACUGGAACUGAGACACGGUCCAGACUCCUACGGGAGGCAGCAGUGGGGAAUAUUGGACAAUGGGCGCAAGCCUGAUCCAGCCAUACCGCGUGGGUGAAGAAGGCCUUCGGGUUGUAAAGCCCUUUUGUUGGGAAAGAAAUCCAGCUGGCUAAUACCCGGUUGGGAUGACGGUACCCAAAGAAUAAGCACCGGCUAACUUCGUGCCAGCCGCCGCCGUAA